This is a long non-coding RNA of Lycium ferocissimum, 2186 nucleotides long. RefSeq lists it as uncharacterized. NCBI's taxonomy places the organism in Eukaryota, Viridiplantae, Streptophyta, Magnoliopsida, Solanales, Solanaceae. The record is from RefSeq and is a predicted model, not a curated record. The transcript has 8 exons.
AUUUAUUUAUUUAUUUAUUUAUUUAUUUAUUUAUUUUUGCUUCUUAUGUUGCCCUUUAUUUCUGGAUUGUUCUUUAGAAUUUCUCUAUUUUUGUCCUGAUAAAAAAUAAUUUCUCCAUUUUGGUAUCAAAUGUUGUCACUGAUGUACUGUUUAUCCUCUUCACCCUGUUAGUUCGCUUCAAUUGUAAGUGAUAUAUAUAUGAUUAUGGUUGGAGAACAAAAUCAUGUUUUUUCUUAUCAAUCUCAAAAGAUAAUCGUACAUGGGGCCUACCUUUUUGGUUCUGGUAAUUGAAUGGGUAUGGGCAUAUGAAAGUGAUGGGUUGUAUUCAUAUGUGGUUUUUGAAAAAUUUCACGACUUUGUCACUCUGGUUACAAAGCUACUUUCAUUUGCAGUUCUGAGAUCAUGAGUAUCUUGAACAACACAAAUCGCCAGAAACAGGUUUUGGAGCAUUGACAGGUCCUGAAAAUCUUUGAAGAGGAAUUGAAGAUUGGGCUUCUCAUGUGUCAAUUUAGUUACACUUUAUUUACCAGUUUACUUCAUCUAUUGUCGAAGCUACCUUACAACGCUACAAGAGCAUAAACAAAGGGGUAUCUACAGUAGUAGAAAGUCUUAAAUGAUAGCGGGAGCUUAGUGCACCGGGCUACCCUAAAGGAGAGUCAGGCUGCACAAAUGUGGAUGAUUGGAGGCUCGGAUGGGGCAGUAUCUCGGGAAGAAGUGAUAUUGCUUACCCACCAUAGAUCAGGCAUAUAGAAGCUGCAAGGUCCAAUGAUCAAAGAUUGACUUUCCCCUCCAUUUUACGCUAUGUCGUUUACGUUUUGAACAUUGAAUGGAUUUGGUCUUUUACUCUGGCUCAGUGCGUAGACAGGGAUGCAAUAAAAUGCAAUUAAGGGAGGUGCAAGCCAUAAUGUAGAUUUGAACUUGGGAAUAGCCUCCUCUGUUUUAGCUGAUGACCAGCCUGGUGAUCUUCUUGUGUCGAUUUUUAUAAAUUUUCAGGACAAAGGGUGCUACUUCCAGCUCUUUUGCGGCCUAAACGAGUCUUCACUUGUGCUCUAAAGGUAUGUCGUGCGUAGCAAGAUAUGUGGACUUCCCGAAAUGAGAUACUUUGCUGGUUUUCAUAAAUUUUUCUUCUGGAAUGAGUUUGCAUGGGCCUGAUUAAAUAGGAAGUUUAGUCCAAAAUACAAAUCAGAGAAUUCUAUAGGAUGAAAAAAACAUUGUGAGAUAAUUGAUCAUAGUAUGCUAAAAGUGAGAAGUCACCAUAGUUGAAAGUUAGUUUUCGAAAAUACCCUUUAAAAGUUAAAUGCCUAAAUACCAAUAUUUUAAAAUAAUAUUAUUACAAGUUUCUGGUGGUAAAAAUACAACUUCUAGGCUGAGUUUUUGCAGAUACAAAUGAAUAUUAAAAGGGGUGUCUUAUUAAAUGGUAUCGUAGAGGCUUUUCAACUCCUACCGUUGGGCUACAAGUAGUUUCUCCUUAAAUCUUUCAACUCAAAUUGUUAUUUACCAGUGUAUUCCUUCUAUUAUGAGUGCUGAUUGAUUAAAUCUACGUAAGAGAAUCAAGUAUAAGAUAUUUUCUCUGGAUUUGGAUUGUUGUAACAUUCUCAGUUCUAAUAAUUUCACAAGCAAAUUUCCAGAGAAACUGAAUAAUCUGGCAAAGAUUGAAAUAUGACUCUGUGAAUGCAUCUGGACUGUACAUUUAGUGAGACAUCUUUUUGGGUCUUCUUCAUAGUAGUAUUUGAUUUUUGUAAUGUGAGCUCAAUAUUGAGGAAUAUGAUGAGUUCAGAUUGUCAACAACUAAGGAAGUUGAAUAAGAAGCACAUAGACUUCGGGAUUUACUCAAUGUCGCCAACUUUACAAGACAAUACUGUGCAAAUGUACAAUAUUUAUCAAUCAUGAGGAUUACAAUACUCGUGAGAAAAAGUUCAAGUUUUUCAUAAUCAAAGGUGUACCCAUCACAUGUAUUUUGAGGUUUCAAGUAGAAGAUCAUUUUAGAUGGUGUAUUUAGUUUUUUAAAACUCAUGUUUCUGUAAUUAUAACCAAAUUGAUGGCAUGAAGAUAUCUUUGCUAUAGUUCAGUUAUGUUUGCAUGCUUUAUUUAAACACACCAGCUGACCUACAUAUCAAUGUACAAAAAGGGAUUUUAGCUCAUGUUUGGCCUGUGAAAUGUUAUUUUCAUAUGGUGUUUGAAGUUUA